CAAAGUGCUUACAGUGCAGGUAGUGUUAUUGAUGAUCUACUGCAGUGGAGGCACUUCUAGC
MicroRNA precursor from Salmo trutta (river trout), 61 nucleotides. Ensembl annotates it as microRNA 17. Its record names the gene mir17a-1. The record is from Ensembl. NCBI's taxonomy places the organism in Eukaryota, Metazoa, Chordata, Actinopteri, Salmoniformes, Salmonidae.